This 322-nucleotide ribosomal RNA is filed under the name uncultured Cercozoa. RNAcentral describes it as "SSU rRNA". The stretch from base 112 to 322 matches the Rfam family "Eukaryotic small subunit ribosomal RNA", at positions 744 to 955 of the family's 1831-position model. The record is from RNAcentral. Lineage: Eukaryota; Cercozoa.
GAUUUCUGGGCUCAAGAAUUUGGCCGGCCACGGUUUCGUGUGUUAGUGCUUUGUUCUGUGUCCAUCCUUCCAAUUGCUAUUGGCUAUUCUUCAUUGAUUGGUCAGUAGUAUUGGAUCUUUUACUUUGAAAAAAUUAGAGUGUUUCAAGCAGGCUUUAUGCUAUGAAUACAUUAGCAUGGAAUAAUAAUUUAGGACUUCUGUUCUAUUUUGUUGGUUUCUAGGACUGAAGUAAUGAUUGAUAGGGACAGUUGGGGGUGCUAGUAUUCAGCGGCCAGAGGUGAAAUUCUCGGAUUCGCUGAAGACUAACUUAUGCGAAAGCAUU